This 158-nucleotide small RNA is filed under the name Dipodomys ordii (Ord's kangaroo rat). RNAcentral describes it as "TUC338 (ENSDORG00000025150.1)". Lineage: Eukaryota; Metazoa; Chordata; Mammalia; Rodentia; Heteromyidae. The record is from RNAcentral.
UUGACAGUCUCAGAGAUCAAAGUCCUCUUUUUAUCAACUGAGCAGACAUAACACAGAGAGUAAAAAUUUCCCAUCUGCUAAACCCUUGCUCUGGAGAUUUUACCUGUAAAGAAUGAAAAGAUUUUUCAAGCUCUUUGCCUUUUCCUUUUCUUGAGAGA